This 78-nucleotide transfer RNA is filed under the name Klebsiella phage vB_KaeM_KaOmega. RNAcentral describes it as "tRNA-Gln". It matches the Rfam family "tRNA". Rfam says of the family: Transfer RNA (tRNA) molecules are approximately 80 nucleotides in length. Their secondary structure includes four short double-helical elements and three loops (D, anti-codon, and T loops). The record is from RNAcentral. Lineage: Duplodnaviria; Heunggongvirae; Uroviricota; Caudoviricetes.
UAGGGGAUUAGUUUAAUUGGCAAAACAGCGGGUUUUGAUCCCGCUAGCGCGAGGUUCGAAUCCUCCAUCCCCCGCCAA